AGCUUGCUACCUGACCUAGCGGCGGACGGGUGAGUAAUGCUUAGGAAUCUGCCUAUUAGUGGGGGACAACAUUCCGAAAGGAAUGCUAAUACCGCAUACGCCCUACGGGGGAAAGCAGGGGAUCUUCGGACCUUGCGCUAAUAGAUGAGCCUAAGUCAGAUUAGCUAGUUGGUGGGGUAAAGGCCUACCAAGGCGACGAUCUGUAGCGGGUCUGAGAGGAUGAUCCGCCACACUGGGACUGAGACACGGCCCAGACUCCUACGGGAGGCAGCAGUGGGGAAUAUUGGACAAUGGGCGAAAGCCUGAUCCAGCCAUGCCGCGUGUGUGAAGAAGGCCUUUUGGUUGUAAAGCACUUUAAGCGAGGAGGAGGCUACUUGGAUUAAUACUCUAGGAUAGUGGACGUUACUCGCAGAAUAAGCACCGGCUAACUCUGUGCCAGCAGCCGCGGUAAUACAGAGGGUGCGAGCGUUAAUCGGAUUUACUGGGCGUAAAGCGUGCGUAGGCGGCUUCUUAAGUCGGAUGUGAAAUCCCUGAGCUUAACUUAGGAAUUGCAUUCGAUACUGGGAAGCUAGAGUAUGGGAGAGGAUGGUAGAAUUCCAGGUGUAGCGGUGAAAUGCGUAGAGAUCUGGAGGAAUACCGAUGGCGAAGGCAGCCAUCUGGCCUAAUACUGACGCUGAGGUACGAAAGCAUGGGGAGUAAACAGGAUUAGAUACCCUGGUAGUCCAUGCCGUAAACGAUGUCUACUAGCCGUUGGGGCCUUUGAGGCUUUAGUGGCGCAGCUAACGCGAUAAGUAGACCGCCUGGGGAGUACGGUCGCAAGACUAAAACUCAAAUGAAUUGACGGGGGCCCGCACAAGCGGUGGAGCAUGUGGUUUAAUUCGAUGCAACGCGAAGAACCUUACCUGGUCUUGACAUAGUAAGAACUUUCCAGAGAUGGAUUGGUGCCUUCGGGAACUUACAUACAGGUGCUGCAUGGCUGUCGUCAGCUCGUGUCGUGAGAUGUUGGGUUAAGUCCCGCAACGAGCGCAACCCUUUUCCUUAUUUGCCAGCGAGUAAUGUCGGGAACUUUAAGGAUACUGCCAGUGACAAACUGGAGGAAGGCGGGGACGACGUCAAGUCAUCAUGGCCCUUACGACCAGGGCUACACACGUGCUACAAUGGUCGGUACAAAGGGUUGCUACCUAGCGAUAGGAUGCUAAUCUCAAAAAGCCGAUCGUAGUCUGGAUUGGAGUCUGCAACUCG
This 1242-nucleotide ribosomal RNA is filed under the name uncultured Acinetobacter sp. RNAcentral's name for it is "bacterial SSU rRNA". It matches the Rfam family "Bacterial small subunit ribosomal RNA", at positions 77 to 1314 of the family's 1533-position model. The record is from RNAcentral. Lineage: Bacteria; Pseudomonadati; Pseudomonadota; Gammaproteobacteria; Moraxellales; Moraxellaceae.